UNUGACUUGGGUGCAGAAGGGGAGAGUGGAAUUCCAUGUGUAGCGGUGAAAUGCGUAGAUAUAUGGAGGANCACCAGUGGCGAAAGCGGCUCUCUGGUCUGUCACUGACGCUGAGGCUCGAAAGCGUGGGUAGCGAACAGGAUUAGAUACCCUGGUAGUCCACGCCGUAAACGAUGAGUGCUAGGUGUUAGGCCCUUUCCGGGGCUUAGUGCCGGAGCUAACGCAAUAAGCACUCCGCCUGGGGAGUACGACCGCAAGGUUGAAACUCAAAGGAAUUGACGGGGGCCCGCACAAGCGGUGGAGCAUGUGGUUUAAUUCGAAGCAACGCGAAGAACCUUACCAGGUCUUGACAUCCCGAUGCUAUUCUUAGAGAUAGGAAGUUACUUCGGUACAUCGGAGACGGGUGGUGCAUGGUUGUCGUCAGCUCGUGUCGUGAGAUGUUGGGUUAAGUCCCGCAACGAGCGCAACCCUUAUUGUUAGUUGCCAUCAUUAAGUUGGGCACUCUAGCGAGACUGCCGGUAAUAAACCGGAGGAAGGUGGGGAUGACGUCAAAUCAUCAUGCCCCUUAUGACUUGGGCUACACACGUGCUACAAUGGUCGGUACAACGAGUUGCGAGCCGGUGACGGCAAGCUAAUCUCUGAAAGCCGAUCUCAGUUCGGAUUGGAGGCUGCAACUCGCCUCCAUGAAGUCGGAAUCGCUAGUAAUCGCGGAUCAGCACGCCGCGGUGAACACGUUCCCGGGCCUUGUACACACCGCCCGUCACACCACGAGAGUUUGUAACACCCGAAGUCGGUGA
Molecule: ribosomal RNA, 797 nt
Filed under: uncultured bacterium
Lineage: Bacteria
Description: bacterial SSU rRNA
Rfam family: Bacterial small subunit ribosomal RNA
Source: RNAcentral